This 520-nucleotide ribosomal RNA is filed under the name uncultured bacterium. RNAcentral's name for it is "bacterial SSU rRNA". It matches the Rfam family "Bacterial small subunit ribosomal RNA", at positions 10 to 518 of the family's 1533-position model. The record is from RNAcentral.
AGUUUGAUUCUGGCUCAGAUUGAACGCUGGCGGCAGGCCUAACACAUGCAAGUCGAACGGUAACAGGAAGCAGCUUGCUGUUUCGCUGACGAGUGGCGGACGGGUGAGUAAUGUCUGGGAAACUGCCUGAUGGAGGGGGAUAACUACCGGAAACGGUAGCUAAUACCGCAUAACGUCGCAAGACCAAAGAGGGGGACCUUCGGGCCUCUUGCCAUCGGAUGUGCCCAGAUGGGAUUAGCUAGUAGGUGGGGUAACGGCUCACCUAGGCGACGAUCCCUAGCUGGUCUGAGAGGAUGACCAGCCACACUGGAACUGAGACACGGUCCAGACUCCUACGGGAGGCAGCAGUGGGGAAUAUUGCACAAUGGGCGCAAGCCUGAUGCAGCCAUGCCCGCGUGUAUGAAGAAGGCCUUCGGGUUGUAAAGUACUUUCAGCGGGGAGGAAGGGAGUAAAGUUAAUACCUUUGCUCAUUGACGUUACCCGCAGAAGAAGCACCGGCUAACUCCGUGCCAGCCGCCGC